This 182-nucleotide unclassified non-coding RNA is filed under the name [Papulaspora] funabasensis. Its description in RNAcentral is "partial internal transcribed spacer 2". The record is from RNAcentral. Lineage: Eukaryota; Fungi; Ascomycota; Sordariomycetes; Coronophorales; Ceratostomataceae.
CGACCCUCGGGGCCCCUCCCUCUUGCAGGGCGGCGGCCCCGGCCUUGGGCCAGCGCGUGCCGCUCUCGAGCGCCGCGCGGCCCGCAGAACAGCGGCGGCAGCACCGGCGACGUCCCCUGCGCAGUAGAAUACACUCGCAUUGGUCUCCCGGCGCGGCCCGCCUCGAAACCCAAACUUCUUUA